This 59-nucleotide transfer RNA is filed under the name Ornithorhynchus anatinus (platypus). It matches the Rfam family "tRNA", at positions 7 to 64 of the family's 71-position model. From Rfam's summary of the family: Transfer RNA (tRNA) molecules are approximately 80 nucleotides in length. Their secondary structure includes four short double-helical elements and three loops (D, anti-codon, and T loops). Further hydrogen bonds mediate the characteristic L-shaped molecular structure. tRNAs have two regions of fundamental functional importance: the anti-codon, which is responsible for specific mRNA codon recognition, and the 3' end, to which the tRNAs corresponding amino acid is attached (by aminoacyl-tRNA synthetases). tRNAs cope with the degeneracy of the genetic code in two manners: having more than one tRNA (with a specific anti-codon) for a particular amino acid; and 'wobble' base-pairing, i.e. permitting non-standard base-pairing at the 3rd anti-codon position. Lineage: Eukaryota; Metazoa; Chordata; Mammalia; Monotremata; Ornithorhynchidae. The record is from Rfam by way of RNAcentral.
GUGGCUUAGUGGAAAGAGCACGGGUUUGGGAGUCCGAGAUCGUGGGUUCUAAUCCCACC